Molecule: ribosomal RNA, 1904 nt
Filed under: Campylobacter jejuni
Lineage: Bacteria; Pseudomonadati; Campylobacterota; Epsilonproteobacteria; Campylobacterales; Campylobacteraceae
Description: partial 23S ribosomal RNA
Rfam family: Bacterial large subunit ribosomal RNA
Source: RNAcentral
ACCAGCUAAGGUCCCUAAGUCUUACUUAAGUGGAAAACGAUGUGAAGUUACUUAAACAACCAGGAGGUUGGCUUAGAAGCAGCCAUCCUUUAAAGAAAGCGUAAUAGCUCACUGGUCUAGUGAUUUUGCGCGGAAAAUAUAACGGGGCUAAAGUAAGUACCGAAGCUGUAGACUUAGUUUACUAAGUGGUAGGAGAGCGUUCUAUUUGCGUCGAAGGUAUACCGGUAAGGAGUGCUGGAGCGAAUAGAAGUGAGCAUGCAGGCAUGAGUAGCGAUAAUUAAUGUGAGAAUCAUUAACGCCGUAAACCCAAGGUUUCCUACGCGAUGCUCGUCAUCGUAGGGUUAGUCGGGUCCUAAGUCGAGUCCGAAAGGGGUAGACGAUGGCAAAUUGGUUAAUAUUCCAAUACCAACAUUAGUGUGCGAUGGAAGGACGCUUAGGGCUAAGGGGGCUAGCGGAUGGAAGUGCUAGUCUAAGGUCGUAGGAGGUUAUACAGGCAAAUCCGUAUAACAAUACUCCGAGAACUGAAAGGCUUUUUGAAGUCUUCGGAUGGAUAGAAGAACCCCUGAUGCCGUCGAGCCAAGAAAAGUUUCUAAGUUUAGCUAAUGUUGCCCGUACCGUAAACCGACACAGGUGGGUGGGAUGAGUAUUCUAAGGCGCGUGGAAGAACUCUCUUUAAGGAACUCUGCAAAAUAGCACCGUAUCUUCGGUAUAAGGUGUGGUUAGCUUCGUACUAGGAUUUACUCCGAAAGCGAAGAAACUUACAACAAAGAGUCCCUCCCGACUGUUUACCAAAAACACAGCACUCUGCUAACUCGUAAGAGGAUGUAUAGGGUGUGACGCCUGCCCGGUGCUCGAAGGUUAAUUGAUGGGGUUAGCAUUAGCGAAGCUCUUGAUCGAAGCCCGAGUAAACGGCGGCCGUAACUAUAACGGUCCUAAGGUAGCGAAAUUCCUUGUCGGUUAAAUACCGACCUGCAUGAAUGGCGUAACGAGAUGGGAGCUGUCUCAAAGAGGGAUCCAGUGAAAUUGUAGUGGAGGUGAAAAUUCCUCCUACCCGCGGCAAGACGGAAAGACCCCGUGGACCUUUACUACAGCUUGACACUGCUACUUGGAUAAGAAUGUGCAGGAUAGGUGGGAGGCUUUGAGUAUAUGACGCCAGUUGUAUAUGAGCCAUUGUUGAGAUACCACUCUUUCUUAUUUGGGUAGCUAACCAGCUUGAGUUAUCCUCAAGUGGGACAAUGUCUGGUGGGUAGUUUGACUGGGGCGGUCGCCUCCCAAAUAAUAACGGAGGCUUACAAAGGUUGGCUCAGAACGGUUGGAAAUCGUUCGUAGAGUAUAAAGGUAUAAGCCAGCUUAACUGCAAGACAUACAAGUCAAGCAGAGACGAAAGUCGGUCUUAGUGAUCCGGUGGUUCUGUGUGGAAGGGCCAUCGCUCAAAGGAUAAAAGGUACCCCGGGGAUAACAGGCUGAUCUCCCCCAAGAGCUCACAUCGACGGGGAGGUUUGGCACCUCGAUGUCGGCUCAUCGCAUCCUGGGGCUGGAGCAGGUCCCAAGGGUAUGGCUGUUCGCCAUUUAAAGCGGUACGCGAGCUGGGUUCAGAACGUCGUGAGACAGUUCGGUCCCUAUCUGCCGUGGGCGUAAGAAGAUUGAAGAGAUUUGACCCUAGUACGAGAGGACCGGGUUGAACAAACCACUGGUGUAGCUGUUGUUCUGCCAAGAGCAUCGCAGCGUAGCUAAGUUUGGAAAGGAUAAACGCUGAAAGCAUCUAAGCGUGAAGCCAACUCUAAGAUGAAUCUUCUCUAAGCUCUCUAGAAGACUACUAGUUUGAUAGGCUGGGUGUGUAAUGGAUGAAAGUCCUUUAGCUGACCAGUACUAAUAGAGCGUUUGGCUUAUCUUUAAUAAAGCAU